GGAAGGGUCGCAUAGUUGGCCUAGUGCGCGCGCCUGGAAAGCGCGUAGGCGGGACCUCUCGCCUCGCGGGUUCGAAUCCCGCCCCUUCCG
RNAcentral lists this transfer RNA (90 nucleotides) under Chloroflexota bacterium. RNAcentral describes it as "Chloroflexi bacterium (wastewater metagenome) tRNA-Ser". It matches the Rfam family "tRNA". From Rfam's summary of the family: Transfer RNA (tRNA) molecules are approximately 80 nucleotides in length. Their secondary structure includes four short double-helical elements and three loops (D, anti-codon, and T loops). Further hydrogen bonds mediate the characteristic L-shaped molecular structure. tRNAs have two regions of fundamental functional importance: the anti-codon, which is responsible for specific mRNA codon recognition, and the 3' end, to which the tRNAs corresponding amino acid is attached (by aminoacyl-tRNA synthetases). tRNAs cope with the degeneracy of the genetic code in two manners: having more than one tRNA (with a specific anti-codon) for a particular amino acid; and 'wobble' base-pairing, i.e. permitting non-standard base-pairing at the 3rd anti-codon position. Lineage: Bacteria; Bacillati; Chloroflexota. The record is from RNAcentral. RNAcentral also lists the same sequence under 2 other names.